RNAcentral lists this ribosomal RNA (490 nucleotides) under uncultured bacterium. Its description in RNAcentral is "partial 16S ribosomal RNA". It matches the Rfam family "Bacterial small subunit ribosomal RNA", at positions 28 to 507 of the family's 1533-position model. The record is from RNAcentral.
GAUGAACGCUAGCUACAGGCUUAACACAUGCAAGUCGCGGGGCAGCAUGGGGGUUGCUUGCAAUCCCCGAUGGCGACCGGCGCACGGGUGAGUAACGCGUAUCUAACCUGCCCUUCACCACGGGAUAACCCGGCGAAAGUCGGACUAAUACCGUAUGUUGUCCAUUGACGGCAUCCGAUUUGGACGAAAGGCUUGGCGGUGAGGGAUGGGGAUGCGUCCGAUUAGCCAGACGGCGGGGUAACGGCCCACCGUGGCUACGAUCGGUAGGGGUUCUGAGAGGAAGGUCCCCCACACUGGAACUGAGACACGGUCCAGACUCCUACGGGAGGCAGCAGUGAGGAAUAUUGGUCAAUGGGCGUAAGCCUGAACCAGCCAAGUAGCGUGCAGGAUGACGGCCCUAUGGGUUGUAAACUGCUUUUAUGCGGGGAUAAAGUGGCCCACGUGUGGGCUUUUGCAGGUACCGCAUGAAUAAGGACCGGCUAAUUCCGUG